This is a non-coding RNA of Microcebus murinus (gray mouse lemur), 514 nucleotides long. NCBI's taxonomy places the organism in Eukaryota, Metazoa, Chordata, Mammalia, Primates, Cheirogaleidae. The record is from RefSeq and is a predicted model, not a curated record.
CUGCUCCCUUUACAGGGAGCUUUGACAAGAAGCAGCUCUAUGGUGUUUACACAGAACACCUGAGAAUAUAGAAUGUGUUUCACAUGUGCCUGCCACCAAGUCCUCUCAGGCCUGCUAACCACAGGACACACCUUGGAAGGAGUCUUAAGUGCAGGUGGAAGUGGAGGUACGGCCUGCAAGUGUGAUCUGUUACAAAAAACUGCAUGACGUGGUUUCAGCUCAGGCUGAUGAGUGCUCUCCUGCCAUCCUGAGUAUAGUUCUUUUAAACAGGAGAAGGCUCAACAGAAUUGUCCAGACAAGGAUCACAAGAUCUUCCACACCAGAGAUAAAGUUGCAAUGACCCAAGACCCCUGAAACCACUGAUUGUAGUUAAGCAACAAUAGCCUGAAGCCAUGCCAUGUGACACCAGUCAUGUAGACCUGAAACUAACCAUGAAACCCCCCCUUUAAAAAGCCCUGUUUUUCUGCUUAAGGGCAGGAUGGUGACCUUUGAGAUGCUAGUCUCCUACCAUCCA